RNAcentral lists this ribosomal RNA (253 nucleotides) under uncultured bacterium. Its description in RNAcentral is "partial 16S ribosomal RNA". It matches the Rfam family "Bacterial small subunit ribosomal RNA", at positions 524 to 776 of the family's 1533-position model. The record is from RNAcentral.
UACAGAGGUCCCAAGCGUUGUUCGGAUUCACUGGGCGUAAAGGGUGCGUAGGCGGUCGGGUAAGUCUGAUGUGAAAUCUCACAGCUUAACUGUGAAACUGCAUUGGAUACUAUCCGGCUCGAGGAAUGGAGGGGAGACUGGAAUACUUGGUGUAGCAGUGAAAUGCGUAGAUAUCAAGUGGAACACCAGUGGCGAAGGCGGGUCUCUGGGCCGUUACUGACGCUGAGGAGCGAAAGCGUGGGGAGCGAACAGG